GGAGAGUUGGCAGAGUGGUCGAUUGCGGCGGUCUUGAAAACCGUUGAGGCGAAAGUCUCCGGGGGUUCGAAUCCCUCACUCUCCG
Molecule: transfer RNA, 85 nt
Filed under: Cyclonatronum proteinivorum
Lineage: Bacteria; Pseudomonadati; Balneolota; Balneolia; Balneolales; Cyclonatronaceae
Also listed under: 1 other name
Rfam family: tRNA
About the family: Transfer RNA (tRNA) molecules are approximately 80 nucleotides in length. Their secondary structure includes four short double-helical elements and three loops (D, anti-codon, and T loops). Further hydrogen bonds mediate the characteristic L-shaped molecular structure. tRNAs have two regions of fundamental functional importance: the anti-codon, which is responsible for specific mRNA codon recognition, and the 3' end, to which the tRNAs corresponding amino acid is attached (by aminoacyl-tRNA synthetases). tRNAs cope with the degeneracy of the genetic code in two manners: having more than one tRNA (with a specific anti-codon) for a particular amino acid; and 'wobble' base-pairing, i.e. permitting non-standard base-pairing at the 3rd anti-codon position.
Source: Rfam by way of RNAcentral